This 306-nucleotide long non-coding RNA is filed under the name Phaseolus vulgaris (common bean). RNAcentral's name for it is "long non-coding RNA (PVUL_LNC005342)". The record is from RNAcentral. Lineage: Eukaryota; Viridiplantae; Streptophyta; Magnoliopsida; Fabales; Fabaceae.
AUCUGAAGAUUCUCCUGCAACAGAAAAAUUGUGCAUACAAGUGUAAAGACUCUGAACAGCAACUAACAAAAGUGUGAAGUUAUGUUUGGUCCUGUAUAGAAGGAGAUAAAAAGGUAUUCUUGGGAGCCAACACCUUUCUAGAAACCUUGUAUAUUCAAACUGUCACCUCUUGGACUCUUAGAUUAGAGAAAUCAACUCAUGCAAUUCACAAUUUCAACUCAUUGUUGAACUGUCAGAUGAUACUUUGUGGCGUUAUUCUCUUCCACCAUGGAUCCUCAAAUUUCCAAUAACUCUUAGAAGGAAUGA